UGGACAAUCAAGUUUGCUAUUUAUCCACAGAACAAAUACAAGACAGGCAGCGGUAGUGCAAACUUCUUCACAUUCAACUGCUCAUGCCUCUUGAUAGUGAAAUGGAGGGAUGACCAUGGGUCAUCUACAUGCCCAUUCAGUCUUUGGCCUCU
This 152-nucleotide small RNA is filed under the name Chelonoidis abingdonii (Abingdon island giant tortoise). RNAcentral's name for it is "TUC338 (ENSCABG00000001348.1)". The record is from RNAcentral. Lineage: Eukaryota; Metazoa; Chordata; Testudines; Testudinidae.